UUUUAAAGUAAAAUAAAAAUAUAUUUUAAAUUCAUUUAUAAUUUCUUUAUUGAUAUUAUGUUUAAUUCAAAUGAGUUCAUUUCUGAGAUGUCAAAAUACCCCUUGAUGUAUUGGCAAGUUAAUAGGAACAAAUUCCCUCUCCUAUCAAUAUGAUGAUCUUCUAAUCAUAAAACUUCCAUGUCCUGAUCGAGCAAUAUCUUGCACAACAUUAGCUCCUGUAGAAAGACUAUUUACAAUUGCUGUUUUCAGACCAGAAGAUUCAGACUAUUAUUGACAAAACAUUAAAAUAACUAUAUUAAAUGAUUAUCAAAUUCAAC
RNAcentral lists this long non-coding RNA (317 nucleotides) under Mytilus galloprovincialis (Mediterranean mussel). Lineage: Eukaryota; Metazoa; Mollusca; Bivalvia; Mytilida; Mytilidae. The record is from RNAcentral.